UACGUAGGGGGCAAGCGUUUAUCCGGAAUCAUUGGGCGUAAAGCGCGUGUAGGCGGUUCCGUAAGUCCGCUCUGAAAGCCCAGGGCUCAACCCUGGGAGGCGGGUGGAUACUACGGAACUGGAGUACGGAAGAGGAGAUUGGAAUUCUGGUGUAGCGGUGAAAUGCGCAGAUAUCAGGAGGAACACCAACAGCGAAGGCAGAUCUCUGGGACGUUACUGACGCUGAGACGCGAAAGCGUGGGGAGCAAACAGG
This 253-nucleotide ribosomal RNA is filed under the name uncultured bacterium. Its description in RNAcentral is "partial 16S ribosomal RNA". It matches the Rfam family "Bacterial small subunit ribosomal RNA", at positions 524 to 776 of the family's 1533-position model. The record is from RNAcentral.